This 1302-nucleotide ribosomal RNA is filed under the name Chrysotus sp. Its description in RNAcentral is "16S ribosomal RNA". The stretch from base 1047 to 1206 matches the Rfam family "Archaeal large subunit ribosomal RNA", at positions 2542 to 2701 of the family's 2987-position model. The record is from RNAcentral. Lineage: Eukaryota; Metazoa; Arthropoda; Insecta; Diptera; Dolichopodidae.
UAAAUUGUUAAAAAAAAUAAUUAUAAAAAUUAUUUGUUUUAGUAUUGUUUAAAGAAAAAAUUAUAUUAAUAAUAGAUUAUUAGUAUUGUAAAAGAAAUUUGAAAUAAAUUGAAAAAUUAAUAAUAAAAAAAGAAAAUUUAAUUUAUUGUACCUUGUGUAUCAGGGUUUAUUAAAUAAAAUUUUUAUAUAAAAAUUUCUCGAAAAGAAAAGAUUUAAAAAUAUAUAAUAGUUACUGUAUCAUAAUUAUUAUUAAUAUAUUUUUAGAAAUGAAAUGUUUUUCGUUUUUCUUAUAUCUAGUUUUUUAAGAAAUUAAUUUAAUUUAGCUAUUUUAUACUUUAUUAAUUUAAUUUAUUAAAUUAAUAAUAUUUUAUAGUAAUAUUUAAUGGGAUGAGCUAUUAAAUAAAAUUUUAAAAAUUUUUAUUAUAUAAAAGUAUUUAUAUGCUUAGAAAUAGCAAUUAUUUAAAAAUUUGUUAUAAUUUAUAUUUUUUAAUAUAUAAUAUUUAUUUUAUUUUAAAUUUUUUAUUAAAAUAUUUUAUUUAAUUUAAAAAUAUAAUUAAUAAUGAUAAAAUUAGUAUAUUUAUAAUGUAAAAAUAAAUUUAAAUGAAAAGUUUGAUUAAGGAAUUCGGCAAAAAAAAUUUUCGCCUGUUUAACAAAAACAUGUCUUUUUGAAUUUAAUUUUAAGUCUAAUCUGCCCACUGAUAUAUUUAAAGGGCCGCAGUAUAUUAACUGUGCAAAGGUAGCAUAAUCAUUAGUCUUUUAAUUGGAGGCUUGUAUGAAUGAUUGGACGAGAUAUUAGCUGUCUCAAAUAAAUUUUUAUAGAAUUUUAUUUUUUAGUUAAAAAGCUAAAAUAAUUUUAAAAGACGAGAAGACCCUAUAGAUCUUUAUAUUUAUGAUAUUUUAUUUUAUAAGAAUUAAUUUAAAUAAUAUAAUUAAAUAAUAUUUUGUUGGGGUGAUAUUGAAAUUUAAAAAACUUUCAAUUAAUAUGAAACAAAAAUUAUUGAAUUUUUGAUCUUUUAUUAUUGAUAAAAAAAUUAAGUUACCUUAGGGAUAACAGCGUAAUUAUUUCGAAGAGUUCAUAUCGAUGAAAUAGAUUGCGACCUCGAUGUUGGAUUAAGAUUAAUUUUAGGCGUAGCAGUUUAAUAUAUUAAGUCUGUUCGACUUUUAAAUUCUUACAUGAUCUGAGUUCAAACCGGCGUAAGCCAGGUUGGUUUCUAUCUUUAAUUAAUUGUAAUAUUUUAGUACGAAAGGACCAGAUAUUAAAAAUAAUGAUUUUUUAAAUAUGAAUAAUAUUAAUUUAAUAAU